GAAAAUCCACUUUCCAGAGCCACAUUUCGUACAGCAGAGUCUUACAAACAUCACGUUGAGAACCUUGAUAAGGGUUUGGCCCAUAGUGGAGGCAUCAAGUUUGACUCUUUGUUCAAUGAGCUCUCCUUCUAUCAUGUCUCUCAGCCAGGGUUGCCCCCAUGCCUUGGACAUGAUUUGUUUGAAGGUGUUGUGUCGUAUGACCUUGCUUUAUGUAUACAACAUCUUGUAAAGGUUGACAGACAGUUUACGUACCUGGAAUUGAAUCGAAGGAUUAGUCAGUUCAAGUUUCUAGGUAAUGACAACUGUGACAGACCGUGUGAGAUCAACCCAGGAAGUGAGAAGCUAAGUGGGCAUGCUGUACAGAACUGGUGUUUUUUGAGGAUGCUGCUAAUUGUUAACCAAAUUGAAUCACCUGGUGAGAAUGAAGUUUGGCAACUAAUUUUACUGUUAAGGGAAAUUGUUGCACUUGUUUGUGCACCAGCCAUUUACAGUGGUCAGAUAGGGUAUUUGUGAGUUUUGAUUGAUGAGUACCUAUAUUUUAGGAAACACAUGUUCCCUACUUACUCUCUCAGACCUAAACAUCAUUACCUUAGCCACUACCCAGAGCUCAUUAUUCAUUUUGGACCACUCAUCCGUUUGUGGACAUUAAGAUUCGAAAGUAAGCACAUGUAUUUCAAACAGUGUGUAAGAAAACUACAUAACUUUAAAAAUCUGUGCUUUACUCUCUCAGAAAGACAUCAGCUUCUGCAGGCAUUUCUUCAUGCUGGUGAGCUCUUCCCUCCUGCUAUUGUAGCAGAAAAGGCAACAGAGUUUGUGCAAUGUCCGCCUUGGUGGGAGAACUGAGGGAAAUCAUCCUCAGGGCUUUGCCGUCAAAUGAUGAGAACACCACACAGCUUUUGAUCGACAAACUUGUAGGCUCGGGAUUGGAAUCCAAAGAUGAUCUUCAGUUUGUUCAUCAAGAAGACAUCAGUGACAUACUACCAACUAUAAAACUCAGAAAACUUCUCAAUGCUUUUAAAAUGGAGUCAGAAACUGUCACUUUGGAUCUCACCACUAUGCAGCACACUCCUUCCUUAUCAGCUGGGAGCUCCUCACCACAGCCAUGCUCUUCUAAUAUGUCGGUAACUACUGGACAUAUGGAGAAUCAAGCAGUCUUGAAAACAGUCGACCAUCUACAUCCCAUUUUAGGAAAUCGUGGUCAAAUACCUUUCAGGUACCAUGGCAGCUCAUGCCUGCAGAAAUUCAGUUUGCUCUCUCUUCUGGGAAGAGACCUUCACCACCAGCAAGACGACAAAUGGUCAGGGUGCUUGCAGAUGAAAUGAGAAAAUUUGAGCCAACACCAACACGUGCACAGUGUCUUACUAUUUGUAAAGCGAUUGUCCAUCAAUAUCCCCAGAGCUUUGCGGAUCAACUUCAUGAUGGCCGAGUUGUAGGGGAAGGUUACAGCUCACUUUUGGCCCAGAUCAAGAAUAGAAUCGACCUCAGCCGGGCCACUAGCUUCCGACAGCACCGGUCAGCUGGCAGUAGUCUUAAAAGAGGACCCACUGACACAUAUGGUUGCACCCGGUUUCAGCCUGAUCUUCCUUUAGAUGAGACCGAUGUCUCCAUUGAGAUUAAACGUCAGAAGCUGGAGGAUCUAUUCUGUCAAGAAGGUGCAAAGGGAGCUGAGAAAACUGAGGUAGAAAAACUGAUGGAGACAACUUUCUGCUUGCAACGGAGCCAAAUAAAUAGUGUGCCAGCACCUUCUGUUGCGGAGUUGAUGGAAAAGUGGCCAUACCUCUUUUUUCAGAAAGGCCUGUUCGCCCAUUUUGAGCUGCUCACUGACAUUAAUGUCCUACGUGCACUUGAACUUUCUAUGGAGGAGUGUGGAAAGAGCAUCUUAGAGUUUUUUUAAAAGCAAGCCUACCAACUCAGAAGUCAAGUCAAUCCUUUCCAAAGAUGAACCCAUUGAUUCAUCAUACCAAAUUGUUCAACUCCUAAUGGCUCACUUCAUGGAAAAGCAAGAUGGACUCAUUCUUCAAGAAAAUAUGUCUGCCACUCCUGCUGACCUCGAAAAGAUGGGGAACCUGCCUGUGAGUCCUCGUUUGAUCCUGCUUGGUGAUAAUCCGGGCCAAUGGAUGAAACGAUGGAUUAUCAGCCUCGAAGGCCAAAUAAUCUGCGAGGGUGUUCAGCCAACUUUUCUCUCUGGACUUGCUGCAUUGUUCUCUUCAUAUUACAUUUUCAAUUUGCAGUACCAAGAGGAAGCAGCAUCCACACUAGAAUUCCUUCAAAGGUAACAAGUUUGGACUUAUUUUAUUUAUUUCUAAUUAAUAUGUUAGUAUUAGUAUGGUGACAAUGGAAUCCUCAAGCCAUCCUAGAUGUACAUUACUUUCUUCUUUGAGCCGAACACAGUCGGAGUUAUAAAGAGAAAAUAAUAUACUGGCUUCCCAGCUUUGCAAUGGCAUUGAAUAGAUCCCGAGUUUUUGGAGCUCCAAAAACCGCAUCCAUCCAUCAUAAAAUCCAUACGACUCCAGGGGGUUAAUGAAGUGAAGCGAUGGUUUUUUGUAAGAAAAAUAUCCAUGUUUAUAACUUUUAUCAACUAUAAUCACUGGCUUCCAGAAACAGCCGUACGCGAGUUCCAGAUGGAGUCGAGUUCCGGCAGAAGAAUGACCUCUGACCCGACAUAUGAAAUCUUAUAUCAAAGUCCUUUUCUUUCAAAACGUCUUAAGCCCUAUUCGGACGGGACUAGUUUCACAGGGGGACGUUAGAGAAAUUUCUGUUUCACAGAUGUACUUUGAGAUUUUAAUCCUGUCCGAAUCUGCCAUGUCUGUCUUUUUCUCACACGACCUCUGUAAAAAUUCCAGAGCAAAUGACCUACUGUUUUUCGUCAAACUCGGCAGUCCUCAGAUAAAUCUAAUCCCGUCCGAAUGCGAAUGUCUGUGAUUGCCGAAAAUGUUUUCUUCUAAAACGCUUUUUCUUGUGUGUUUUAGUCAACGUGAACUACCGUAAAACCUCUCGCUAUCGCGCCGGUAUUCAAGUUUCUGCUUUUUGCGCACCGAUAAUGGAUGUAGAUGUGACGUAUUCGUCAAUUCAAACCUAAGCUUUCGCUACGUCUUCGCCAUACGUCCUACUUCAGGUCAGAGGUCACCCUUCCGCCAGAACUCAACUCAAUCAUGAACACGCAUACGGUCAUGCCAGAUGCCAGUGAUUAUAUUUUAUUAAUUUAUAAAAUACAGAUAUAUUUCUUAAAAAAAGGCAUGGCUUUCCUUAUUAGACAUUUAUUAACCCCACUGGAUACAUAUCGAUUACUUUUAUGCUUUAUUGAUGCGUUUAUUGGAGCUUCAAAAACUUUACAAAGCUGGGAAGGAUGUUAUGCAUUAUGGCUGGAAGAAGAAAGCCAUAUACACUUAAGGUUUGAGGACGUUUUGUUGGAAUUAAUCCAGAAAAGGGGACCAAGGCUGCAAGGGGAAAGGUGAUGUCCAAAAAAUCUGGGAAAACCAUGCAGAAGAAGACCAUAACAGUCAGUACCAAAGUAUCAAAUCUUUUAAAAAGACUUAUGGACUUUGAGUGGCACUUCAUUUAAAAUGUAGCUGACACUCCCCACUCAUGCAGUUUGUUUUCAGAAACAUGGUCGUCUGGUGUUAUAUUUUGUUUAUACAGAGUUGUUUAGAUA
This is a long non-coding RNA of Carassius carassius (crucian carp), 3652 nucleotides long. RefSeq lists it as uncharacterized. The record is from RefSeq and is a predicted model, not a curated record. NCBI's taxonomy places the organism in Eukaryota, Metazoa, Chordata, Actinopteri, Cypriniformes, Cyprinidae. The transcript has 6 exons.